Gossypium arboreum is the source of this 548-nucleotide long non-coding RNA. RefSeq lists it as uncharacterized. The record is from RefSeq and is a predicted model, not a curated record. Lineage: Eukaryota; Viridiplantae; Streptophyta; Magnoliopsida; Malvales; Malvaceae. The transcript has 2 exons.
UAGGGGACAAGAUUGGUCAAAAUGUCAAAGUUAGGUGACAUUUGGUGACUUAAUUGAUUAAAAUAAAACAAAAGAAAAAAGGGCUAUCAUCUUCCUCACUUCUCCACCAAAAUUUUCAGCCAUUCUAGGGUUUUUAGAAGCUCAAAAUAUUAGCAACUUCUCAUCCUUGCAAAUCAAGAGAAACAUGAUUCAGGUCUUGAUCGAGGGAAGAACAAAGUUUGCGAGGAUUAGGCUCGUUCCUAUCAUUUUGUGCCGAGUGCCACCAAAGUAGCUUGUAGAUCACCUCCUACGUCAGGUUUCCAAUGGAUGUUUGGGGCCUCGUAGGCCCAUAUUAAGGAGUUUAGACAAAGUUCGAAAAAAAUUUUAAAUUUGAUCAAGCCUUGAUGAUUUGAAAACAUUGGAAAUGCAUGUGCUUAAGUUUAGUAAUGCGUCGUAUUCCGUCCCGACAUAGGGCACGGGUGUGGGGUGUGACAUGCCCUUUAUGAAUUCUUGUUUGUAAUAAGGUAAAAUUCAUUUAAUAAUAUAGCUAUCAUAAUAUUUUUUCAUUA